This 67-nucleotide transfer RNA is filed under the name Ornithodoros furcosus. Its description in RNAcentral is "tRNA-Lys". Lineage: Eukaryota; Metazoa; Arthropoda; Arachnida; Ixodida; Argasidae. The record is from RNAcentral.
CAUUGAAUGGCUGAAAAGAAAGCACUGGUCUCUUAAACCAUCUUAUAGUAAACGAAUACUUUCAGUG